CGCCACAACUUGGAAGUAGUGACCUACAGAUACGGGAAAAUAAAAGCAGUUCCGCCAUAUGAGAAUAGUAAAAUAUAUAUUCAAAUCCAUGUAACCAAAGUAUUAAAGCACAUAAUAAUUUCAUCACAACACAUAAGCAUAUUCAGCCAAAACUUGCCACUCAAAUCCAUUAAUCAGAUGCAAUUCCAGAUUCUUAUUGAUGAUUUAAACUAACAUCAAACAAUUAGUGGUUUGAAAGUUAUCUUUUAUUUUAAACAUCAAUUUUAAGAUAUGGCUAAUAGAUCAAUGUCAAUAAAGAGCCCAGAACAUGCAGCUUUCUUCCCUUAUCCUGGGUUUAUUUCUUUUAGCAACUAUUAUUGGGACAAAAACAAAAAACCCAAUGAGGCUGGAUAUUUCCUAGUCUGCUAAGUACCACAUGUACUGUACUUAUUUGGUAGCCAUUUUACUUCAACUUGUGUUCAUGACUUCAUAUCCAAUGUGGCAUGCAUUUAGGUGUCUACCUUGUUGAGGUAGGAUGCUUCAUGCACUGGGUCACCCUUUACCUUGUUGAGGUGGGUUAUUAGAUAGAUCUAGGAAGGAAGUGCACAUAUGGAGCAAGUAUACAACAUUCCAACUAUUUCCAUAACUAAAACCAGUCUAUCCAGAAUCCAG
This 651-nucleotide unclassified non-coding RNA is filed under the name Hevea brasiliensis (rubber tree). Lineage: Eukaryota; Viridiplantae; Streptophyta; Magnoliopsida; Malpighiales; Euphorbiaceae. The record is from RNAcentral.